UCAGGAUGAACGCUAGCUACAGGCUUAACACAUGCAAGUCAGGGGCAGCGAGAGGAAAGCUUGCUUCCUUGUCGGCGACCGGCGCACGGGUGAGUAACGCGUAUCCAACCUUCCCCAUAGUAGAGGAUAGCCCGGCGAAAGUCGGAUUAAUACUCUAUGUUGUGUCAUGAGGACAUCUGAAUAACACUAAAGAUUUAUCGCUAUGGGAUGGGGAUGCGUCUGAUUAGGUAGUCGGCGGGGUAACGGCCCACCGAGCCGACGAUCAGUAGGGGUUCUGAGAGGAAGGUCCCCACAUUGGUACUGAGACACGGACCAAACUCCUACGGGAGGCAGCAGUGAGGAAUAUUGGUCAAUGGACGAGAGUCUGAACCAGCCAAGUAGCGUGCAGGAAUGACUGCCCUAUGGGUUGUAAACUGCUUUUAUGCGGGAAUAAAGUCAGGUACGUGUACCUGUUUGUAUGUACCGCAUGAAUAAGGACCGGCUAAUUCCGUGCCAGCCGCUGC
This 503-nucleotide ribosomal RNA is filed under the name uncultured bacterium. RNAcentral describes it as "bacterial SSU rRNA". It matches the Rfam family "Bacterial small subunit ribosomal RNA", at positions 24 to 518 of the family's 1533-position model. The record is from RNAcentral.